RNAcentral lists this long non-coding RNA (5265 nucleotides) under Manihot esculenta (cassava). RNAcentral's name for it is "long non-coding RNA (MESC_LNC010898)". The record is from RNAcentral. Lineage: Eukaryota; Viridiplantae; Streptophyta; Magnoliopsida; Malpighiales; Euphorbiaceae.
AUGGACCGUUCACGCACACGGGAAUUCACAGCCCGUGCACACCCACGCUUCACGCCAUUGGGCCCGCGUCAUCAACUCCAGCUCAUGGCCCUCACUCACGCCUCACCAUUCAAUUGCAAAUGGCCCGCACAACAAGGGCCCGCCAAAGCAAACUUGUGCCCGUGGACAAAGCACCUCAUCAACACGUGCACAUGGGCCCGCCAUUGCAAACUCCCGCACAUCCGCGCAAUCCCGCACAAUGGGCAGCCCGUGGACCGAGCUCUUCACAUGGAUCCGCCUCAACAUGGCCAGCACUUCAUCAAUUCAUCCGCAUUUGGGCCCGCGUUCCAGCAGCUCUCUGCACGUGGCCCAUUGCCGCCACCCACGCACCGUCCACCACGCACAUGGGAUCCGUACGAAGCCACUGCACCACAAUCAAUUCACGCGGGCCAAAGCUCUCUGCGCGUGGACCAUUCCUUCACAUGGACCACCAGCGCCACCUCGCCAUUCCUUCACGUGGACACUCGCGCACUCGAUCCACUCCCAGGCCAGCAAUCUUCCAAAAUAGUGCGCCCCUCUACACUUAUAAAUAGAGCCUUCAGUGGCCAAAUUAAAUACACAAUUCAGCCAAUGAGUGGCGCAAGGCUUCUCCUUCGGUUUCUUUUCUUUCUUUUUCCUUUUUUUUAUUUUUAUUUUUUAUUUUAUUUUUCUGUUUUUAAUUCAGCCAAUGAGUGGCUGAAUUCUUUCAUCUAAUUGAAUAUUGGUUGAAGUUUUAGUUGUUUAAUGGGUUGUGAGACUUGAUCAAAUAUUAUUUAAUUUUGGGAAUUCAAUAUUCAUGCAAUUUUAUAUUUAAUUCUCAUAUUAUUUUGUUAUUGAAAUUUACGUUGAUUUUUUAUUAUAAAAUAAUUAUUUAUUAGUUUGAAUAAUUUAAGUCCGUAAUUGCUUGGGUUAUUCUUACAUGAGAACACUUGGGAUAAAACCCAGGGAAAUUGUUUGAUCUAGCGUUAUCUCCAUACGUUUGGGUAGUUAGGAUUAGAUCUCUCUAUUUCUUAAUGCAAUUGACAAUUGUUUUGAUGCCUAAGGUCCAAGGACGUUCCUUGACAAUUUGUUAAUUAGUAAUUAAUUAGAGGACGUUCCCUAAUUGGUUUAAUCAUAAGGAGAGAUAAUGGUGGUGAGAAGCGUCUUCCAUCCCCAUAACUAAUCUAUUGAAUCAACCCAAAAGAACAAAGUGUCUGUGAUCAAUCCCAAUGACUAAAGUGGAUCCAAUACUUCAACUAGAGUUUUCUUAUUAUUUAUUUCUCUUUUAUUUUAUUAUUCGCUUAUUUUAAUUACUUUUAGUAGUUUAUUAAUCAAAUCAAUCUCAAAACCCCCCAUUUUACUUUACUGCAAUUUAUUUUUAUUCCGCUUUCAGUUCAUCUCAUUUUUUGGUUUAUCUCAUUGUUUCAGUUUAUUUUAUUGGUUUUGUUGAGAAAAAUAAAUAAGUAAUCAAUUAUCUGUGGAUUCGAUCCUUCACCACUAUCUGCAGUUGUAAAUUAUUGAUAACCAAGAAGGUUAUUUUUGACCGGCUUCGACAACCGCGAGUCAAAAAUUGGCGCCGUUGUCCCCGUUAAUCUAACUUAUUUGUUUUUCUUUCAGGACAAAAAAAAAAAAGGGGGAGCACUCCAUCGCAGAUCUGAAUCAUGGAUGAGGUAAGUAGACCUGAUCUCUCUUUUCUGACAUCUUUUAUGAAAGAUUUGGCCAUAGAACUAGUUCAACAGGUUCAAGCACCCCAACCACCCAAGCCAUGUAUGAUCUGUGGAUAUGUGGGACACCUAACUUCCCGAUGUCCUACACUUUAUGAGGAUGACCAACCAAUGCAUACAUUUGGAGGAUUCAAUGACCAACCAGUUCAUGCAUAUGGAGGAUACUUUGAACAGCCAAGACAUGAUCCCGACCAUGACACAUACAAUCCAUAUUGGGGAGGCCAACUGAACUAUGGCUACGCUGAGGCUAAUGACUACCAGGACUAUCAAGGAUACCAAGCCCAACCAGCACCUCCAAGUUCAGACCCCGCCAUUAGUGAGUUGGCAAAGACUUUGCAAAUGAUGCAACAGCAGAUGGAUCAAAUGGCCACCUCAUUAAAUGCGAUCAUGUUAAGAAGAGAGGAAUAGCUUCAAGAUGUAUGGGAUGAUGAUGAAAGUUGGCGAGUACAAGAACAAGCUGCUGAAGAGGCACAACCAGAAUACUGUUUGUCCAAACAAACUAGUCAAACAGAACCUGUUGUUGAUUUAGAUAUCAUUGAUUAUUUGAGCAAAGAUAUUUUUUAUACAAAUCAAGAUGAUAUACUAAAUAAUGAUUCUUGCAGGGAAGAAAGCCAAAAAGAGUCAGAACUGAAAGAAACUAACUGUUACAUCUAACAGGUGGACUGCGAACACGCACAGAAUAAAGGAGAGCCAAUCACACCUCUUCAGAUCAAUCUUGCGCAAGAAGGAGUACCUGAAAUCCUCUCAGGCGCGUCUUUUUAGCUUCCAACACAAAUCAGUCUUCCACCUCAGUUAGGUCCUAUGCAGAAGGAGGAAACUGAAACUCCUUUCAUCCUUCCAAUGCAAACAGUCCAUGCCCAGGAGGAACAAAUGGUAGUCCAAUGGCCCAAACCAAAAGAGCAUGCAGAUCAAUGCCUGCCCAAACCACCAAAUAAGGUAGAGUUUGUUUUGCCUGAAUUCAGUACUAAAUUGCAGCUAGCCAUAGAGAAACAUGAAUUGGAGUUCAAAGUUCUUCUCAAUCAUCUCAUAAAUGCAAACAUAAGGGCUAGAGGCACACCUCAUCUGAAAGAGGAGAAGCUAAUCAUGUUACUUCAUGAGUACAUGGAAAAAGUAGGAUGGGCUAUGACAAAAUCAAAAGGAGUGCUACACUUUCUACUCAAUGCAGUUGGGACUCUUUUCCCUUCCCCAAUUACUUGAGCCUUGAUCAAGUGGAUCACACCAUGCACACCACACCCAGGGGAGUACUCAGUUUCCUUUGUUCUUUUAUGUUUCUUAUACAUUGAGGACAAUGCAUGAUUUAAGUGUGGGGGUGCAUAUUUCUGAAUUUUUACUUUUUGAGUUUAUUUUUGCUUUGAUUUUUAGUUUGCUUGCAUUAGUUGAAAUUUUUUCAUUUUUGCUUUGAAUAACACACACAAAUAGCCACAGUUUUUUUUAUUAUUUAUUUUUGUUUCCGUUUUUUUUUUAGAUGCUUUACUCAUCAUAUAAACUAUGUUGGAUGAGUUUUUCUUUCCAUGACCCCAUUGAUGUUAUGACUCUUUAAACCUAUGUUGAAUCAAUUGCAGUGAGUUAUAUUCAUGUUUGAGAAUUGCCUUUUGAAUUGAAUCUUUGAGCUUGCUAAUGGUGAAAAAUAUAUUGAUGACCCUCAAUUGAUGAGAAAAAAUUAAAAGUUGUGUGAAUGAACUUAAUGUGACUUGAUUUAGCAAUUGGUGUUAAUUUGCCCAAAUCAUUGAGAGAAAAAAAUUCAGCAAAGGCAAAGACCUCAAAAGCACAAAUUAAAAAUUGUUCCAAUGGUCAAAAGACUAUGAACAGAGCUAGUAGCCACUUGGACAGGUGACCAACUGAAAAAUAUAAACCUUCAAUCAAAAAUAGGUUGGUGACCUUUCCAAGGUCUAAAGUGCAAAAGCCUGAAUAAAGUACUUCAAGGAAAGGGAAAGUCACACCGAAAGCUAGAAAAAGUCUUAACAAAUAAUGUGCAUGUAUGGUCUCUCUUGAGGAAAACAGAUCCUAGCCAUGGUGAGUAAAAGGAAACAAGGAAAGAAGGUGAGUAAUCUUCAUGCAUAUAUUCUUCACUGCAAUGAUUCAAAAUAGGGGUCUUGAGUAAGAGGUUAAGUGGAAACAAGGAUCUAGAGAAAGAAAGCUUAUUUGACUAUGUUUAUUUGCUUGAGGACAAGCAAAAUGCUAAGUGUGGGGGUAUUUGAUAGAGCAUAAUUUAGUCCAUUUUCUAUGAAUAUUAUUAAUGAAUAUUUACAUGAUUUCUGUUUAAUUUAUUGCUUUUAAUAUUAUUUUACAGAAAAUAGUAUAAAAUGACAAUUUGGAGAAAAUUCCCCUAAAACUGUCUUAUUUGGAGUAAAAGAGAGCAAGUCUGUCAAGCCGGAUUCAAGUCAAAAUAUUUUGGAAAUUAAAUAUUCAAGCUCAUUCUCUCACGUGGAUCAAGUCCAUUCUUGCACAUGGGCCGGCGCAUCCUCCGCAUGGACCGUUCACGCACACGGGAAUUCACAGCCCGUGCACACCCACGCUUCACGCCAUUGGGCCCGCGUCAUCAACUCCAGCUCAUGGCCCUGACUCACGCCUCACCAUUCAAUUGCAAAUGGCCUGCACAACAAGGGCCCGCCAAAGCAAACUUGUGCCCGUGGACAAAGCACCUCAUCAACACGUGCAUAUGGGCCCGCCAUUGCAAACUCCCGCACAUCCGCGCAAUCCCGCACAAUGGGCAGCCCGUGGACCGAGCUCUUCACAUGGAUCCGCCUCAACCUGGCCAGCACUUCAUCAAUUCAUCCGCAUUUGGGCCCGCGUUCCAGCAGCUCUCUGCACGUGGCCCAUUGCCGCCACUCACGCACCGUCCACCAUGCACAUGGGAUCCGCACGAAGCUACUGCACCACAAUCAAUUCACGCGGGCCAAAGCUCUCUGCGCGUGGACCAUUCCUUCACGUGGACCACCAGCGCCACCUCGCCAUUCCUUCACGUGGACACUCGCGCACUCGAUCCACUCCCAGGCCAGCAAUCUUCCAAAAUAGUGCGCCCCUCUGCACUUAUAAAUAGAGCCUUCAGUAAAUUAAAUACACAAUUCAGAAGGGAAUUUGGCAGUUCCACAGCCCGGCGCAAGGCUUCUCCUUCGGUUUCUUUUCUUUCUUUUUCCUUUUUUUUAUUUUAAUUUUUUAUUUUAUUUUUCUGUUUUUAAUUCAGCCAAUGAGUGGCUGAUUUCUUUCAUCUAGUUAAAUAUUGAUUAAAGUUUUAGUUGUUUAAUGAGUUGUGAGACUUGAUCAAAUAUUGUUUAAUUUUGGGAAUUCAAUAUUCAUGCAAUUUUAUAUUUAAUUCUCAUAUUAUUUUAUUAUUGAAAUCUACGUUGAUUUUUUAUUACAAAAUAAUUAUUUAUUAGUUUGAAUAAUUUAAGUCCGUAAUUGCUUGAGUUAUUCUUACAUUAGAACACUUGGGAUAAAACCCAAGGAAAUUGUUUGAUCUAGCGUUAUCUCCAUACGUUUGGGUAGCUAGAAUUGGAUCUCUUUAUUUCUUAAUGCAAUUGACAAUUGUUUUGAUACCUAAGGC